GAUGAACGCUGGCGGCGUGCCUAAUACAUGCAAGUCGAGCGAACAGACGAGGAGCUUGCUCCUCUGACGUUAGCGACGGACGGGUGAGUACCACGUGGAUAACCUACCUAUAAGACUGGGAUAACUUCGGGAAACCGGAGCUAAUACCGGAUAAUAUAUUGAACCGCAUGGUUCAAUAGUGAAAGACGGUUUUGCUGUCACUUAUAGAUGGAUCCGCGCCGCAUUAGCUAGUUGGUAAGGUAACGGCUUACCAAGGCAACGAUGCGUAGCCGACCUGAGAGAGUGAUCGGCCACACGAGAACUGAGACACGGACCAGACUCCUAAGGGAGGCAGCAGUAGGGAAUCUUAGGCAAUGGGCGGAAACAUGACGGAGCAACGCCGCGUGAGUGGUGAAGAUCUUCGGUUCGUAAAACUCUGUUAUUAGGGAAGAACAAAUGUGUAAGUAACUAAGCACGUCUUGACGGUACCGGAUCAGAAAGCCACGGCUAACUACGUG
RNAcentral lists this ribosomal RNA (497 nucleotides) under uncultured bacterium. RNAcentral's name for it is "partial 16S ribosomal RNA". It matches the Rfam family "Bacterial small subunit ribosomal RNA", at positions 28 to 507 of the family's 1533-position model. The record is from RNAcentral.